Molecule: ribosomal RNA, 447 nt
Filed under: uncultured bacterium
Lineage: Bacteria
Description: partial 16S ribosomal RNA
Rfam family: Bacterial small subunit ribosomal RNA
Source: RNAcentral
AACGAACGCUGGCGGCAGGCUUAACACAUGCAAGUCGAGCGCCCCGCAAGGGGAGCGGCAGACGGGUGAGUAACGCGUGGGAAUAUACCUUUUGCUACGGAAUAACUCAGGGAAACUUGUGCUAAUACCGUCUGUGUCCUUCGGGAGAAAGAUUUAUCGGCAAGAGAUGAGCCCGCGUUGGAUUAGCUAGUUGGUGAGGUAAUGGCUCACCAAGGCGACGAUCCAUAGCUGGUCGGAGAGGAUGAUCAGCCACAUUGGGACUGAGACACGGCCCAAACUCCUACGGGAGGCAGCAGUGGGGAAUAUUGGACAAUGGGCGCAAGCCUGAUCCAGCCAUGCCGCGUGAGUGAUGAAGGCCCUAGGGUUGUAAAGCUCUUUCACCGGUGAAGAUAAUGACGGUAACCGGAGAAGAAGCCCCGGCUAACUUCGUGCCAGCCGCCGCGGUAA